UAUUCUGCCCUACGGGGAAGGAUGAGAAGGUUCGACUCGAGCGUAGCGAGAGAACGUUGCCGCAGGCAACGGCCCGAAGGGCGAGGCGCUUUAGCGCCGAGUCAUCCUUCCCCCACCGCUG
RNAcentral lists this small RNA (121 nucleotides) under Klebsiella quasipneumoniae subsp. similipneumoniae. Its description in RNAcentral is "RtT sRNA". It matches the Rfam family "RtT RNA". Rfam says of the family: This family represents a bacterial cis-regulatory element known as RtT RNA. The exact function of RtT is unknown although it is thought that it may be involved in changing the cellular response in relation to amino acid starvation. RNAcentral also lists the same sequence under 3 other names. The record is from RNAcentral. Lineage: Bacteria; Pseudomonadati; Pseudomonadota; Gammaproteobacteria; Enterobacterales; Enterobacteriaceae.